RNAcentral lists this ribosomal RNA (2554 nucleotides) under Shigella sonnei. RNAcentral describes it as "partial 23S ribosomal RNA". It matches the Rfam family "Bacterial large subunit ribosomal RNA", at positions 379 to 2915 of the family's 2925-position model. The record is from RNAcentral. Lineage: Bacteria; Pseudomonadati; Pseudomonadota; Gammaproteobacteria; Enterobacterales; Enterobacteriaceae.
ACAAAAAUGCACAUAUUGUGAGCUCGAUGAGUAGGGCGGGACACGUGGUAUCCUGUCUGAAUAUGGGGGGCCCAUCCUCCAAGGCUAAAUACUCCUGACUGACCGAUAGUGAACCAGUACCGUGAGGGAAAGGCGAAAAGAACCCCGGCGAGGGGAGUGAAAAAGAACCUGAAACCGUGUACGUACAAGCAGUGGGAGCACGCUUAGGCGUGUGACUGCGUACCUUUUGUAUAAUGGGUCAGCGACUUAUAUUCUGUAGCAAGGUUAACCGAAUAGGGGAGCCGAAGGGAAACCGAGUCUUAACUGGGCGUUAAGUUGCAGGGUAUAGACCCGAAACCCGGUGAUCUAGCCAUGGGCAGGUUGAAGGUUGGGUAACACUAACUGGAGGACCGAACCGACUAAUGUUGAAAAAUUAGCGGAUGACUUGUGGCUGGGGGUGAAAGGCCAAUCAAACCGGGAGAUAGCUGGUUCUCCCCGAAAGCUAUUUAGGUAGCGCCUCGUGAAUUCAUCUCCGGGGGUAGAGCACUGUUUCGGCAAGGGGGUCAUCCCGACUUACCAACCCGAUGCAAACUGCGAAUACCGGAGAAUGUUAUCACGGGAGACACACGGCGGGUGCUAACGUCCGUCGUGAAGAGGGAAACAACCCAGACCGCCAGCUAAGGUCCCAAAGUCAUGGUUAAGUGGGAAACGAUGUGGGAAGGCCCAGACAGCCAGGAUGUUGGCUUAGAAGCAGCCAUCAUUUAAAGAAAGCGUAAUAGCUCACUGGUCGAGUCGGCCUGCGCGGAAGAUGUAACGGGGCUAAACCAUGCACCGAAGCUGCGGCAGCGACGCUUAUGCGUUGUUGGGUAGGGGAGCGUUCUGUAAGCCUGCGAAGGUGUGCUGUGAGGCAUGCUGGAGGUAUCAGAAGUGCGAAUGCUGACAUAAGUAACGAUAAAGCGGGUGAAAAGCCCGCUCGCCGGAAGACCAAGGGUUCCUGUCCAACGUUAAUCGGGGCAGGGUGAGUCGACCCCUAAGGCGAGGCCGAAAGGCGUAGUCGAUGGGAAACAGGUUAAUAUUCCUGUACUUGGUGUUACUGCGAAGGGGGGACGGAGAAGGCUAUGUUGGCCGGGCGACGGUUGUCCCGGUUUAAGCGUGUAGGCUGGUUUUCCAGGCAAAUCCGGAAAAUCAAGGCUGAGGCGUGAUGACGAGGCACUACGGUGCUGAAGCAACAAAUGCCCUGCUUCCAGGAAAAGCCUCUAAGCAUCAGGUAACAUCAAAUCGUACCCCAAACCGACACAGGUGGUCAGGUAGAGAAUACCAAGGCGCUUGAGAGAACUCGGGUGAAGGAACUAGGCAAAAUGGUGCCGUAACUUCGGGAGAAGGCACGCUGAUAUGUAGGUGAAGUCCCUUGCGGAUGGAGCUGAAAUCAGUCGAAGAUACCAGCUGGCUGCAACUGUUUAUUAAAAACACAGCACUGUGCAAACACGAAAGUGGACGUAUACGGUGUGACGCCUGCCCGGUGCCGGAAGGUUAAUUGAUGGGGUCAGCGCAAGCGAAGCUCUUGAUCGAAGCCCCGGUAAACGGCGGCCGUAACUAUAACGGUCCUAAGGUAGCGAAAUUCCUUGUCGGGUAAGUUCCGACCUGCACGAAUGGCGUAAUGAUGGCCAGGCUGUCUCCACCCGAGACUCAGUGAAAUUGAACUCGCUGUGAAGAUGCAGUGUACCCGCGGCAAGACGGAAAGACCCCGUGAACCUUUACUAUAGCUUGACACUGAACAUUGAGCCUUGAUGUGUAGGAUAGGUGGGAGGCUUUGAAGUGUGGACGCCAGUCUGCAUGGAGCCGGCCUUGAAAUACCACCCUUUAAUGUUUGAUGUUCUAACGUGGACCCGUGAUCCGGGUUGCGGACAGUGUCUGGUGGGUAGUUUGACUGGGGCGGUCUCCUCCUAAAGAGUAACGGAGGAGCACGAAGGUUGGCUAAUCCUGGUCGGACAUCAGGAGGUUAGUGCAAUGGCAUAAGCCAGCUUGACUGCGAGCGUGACGGCGCGAGCAGGUGCGAAAGCAGGUCAUAGUGAUCCGGUGGUUCUGAAUGGAAGGGCCAUCGCUCAACGGAUAAAAGGUACUCCGGGGAUAACAGGCUGAUACCGCCCAAGAGUUCAUAUCGACGGCGGUGUUUGGCACCUCGAUGUCGGCUCAUCACAUCCUGGGGCUGAAGUAGGUCCCAAGGGUAUGGCUGUUCGCCAUUUAAAGUGGUACGCGAGCUGGGUUUAGAACGUCGUGAGACAGUUCGGUCCCUAUCUGCCGUGGGCGCUGGAGAACUGAGGGGGGCUGCUCCUAGUACGAGAGGACCGGAGUGGACGCAUCACUGGUGUUCGGGUUGUCAUGCCAAUGGCACUGCCCGGUAGCUAAAUGCGGAAGAGAUAAGUGCUGAAAGCAUCUAAGCACGAAACUUGCCCCGAGAUGAGUUCUCCCUGACCCUUUAAGGGUCCUGAAGGAACGUUGAAGACGACGACGUUGAUAGGCCGGGUGUGUAAGCGCAGCGAUGCGUUGAGCUAACCGGUACUAAUGAACCGUGAGG